GUGCACCAGUCUCGAAAACUUUACAAUGUGCGAAAGCACGAUAAGGGAACUCUGAGUGCCUCCUAAGGAGGCUGUUCUGAUGUCUAAAAAGCGACAGAAGUAAGGGCUGGGUAAGACCGGUGCCAGCCGCCGCGGUAACACCGGCAGCCCAAGUGGUAGCCACGUUUAUUGGGUCUAAAGCGUUCGUAGCCGGCCAGGUAAGUUCCUUGGUAAAUUUAGCCGCUUAACGGUUAAGCUUUCAGGGAAUACUGCUUGGCUUGGGACUGGGAGAGGUCAGAGGUACUCCGGGGGUAGGGGUGAAAUCUAUUAAUCCCUGGGGGACCACCGGUAGCGAAGGCGUCUGACCAGACCAGGUCCGACGGUGAGGGACGAAGGCUAGGGGCGCGAACCGGAUUAGAUACCCCCGUAGU
RNAcentral lists this ribosomal RNA (410 nucleotides) under uncultured microorganism. RNAcentral describes it as "bacterial SSU rRNA". It matches the Rfam family "Archaeal small subunit ribosomal RNA", at positions 330 to 745 of the family's 1478-position model. The record is from RNAcentral.